Molecule: ribosomal RNA, 433 nt
Filed under: uncultured bacterium
Lineage: Bacteria
Description: partial 16S ribosomal RNA
Rfam family: Bacterial small subunit ribosomal RNA
Source: RNAcentral
AACGAACGCUGGCGGCAUGCCUAACACAUGCAAGUCGAACGAGACCUUCGGGUCUGGUGGCGCACGGGUGCGUAACGCGUGGGAACCUGCCCUUAGGUUCGGCCUAACUCCCCGAAAGGGGUGCUAAUACCGGAUAAUGUCUUCGGACCCAAGAUUUAUCGCCUUUGGAUGGGCCCGCGUUGGAUUGGCUAGUUGGUAGGGUAAAAGCCUACCAAGGCGACGAUCCAUAGCUGGUCUGAGAGGCUGAUCAGCCACACUGGGACUGGGCCACGGCCCAGACUCCUACGCGAUGCAGCAGUGGGUAAUAUUGGACAACGGGCGAAAGCCUGAUCCAGCACUGCCGGUUGAGUGCUGAAGUCCUUAGGGUUGUAAAGCUCUCUUACCCGGGAUGAUAAUGACAGUACCGGGAGAAUAAGCACCGGCUAACUCCGUG